Molecule: unclassified non-coding RNA, 551 nt
Filed under: Homo sapiens (human)
Lineage: Eukaryota; Metazoa; Chordata; Mammalia; Primates; Hominidae
Description: protein-L-isoaspartate (D-aspartate) O- methyltransferase domain containing 2 (ENSG00000280663.4)
Source: RNAcentral
AACAAUUUCCUGCAUUUCACAAAUGAGGAAACAGAGGCAGGGACAGGUGAGGGAGAUGCAGGGUCACGCACAUGCCCUAGCUGGGGCCAGAAGCUGACUCAGUUGACUAAGAUAACACGCACAGGUCCUUCAGCUUGGGAAACCAAAAAGAUUCUUGCUGUUUCUUUUGCUCCUCUGAUCCAGCCCUGCCAUUCAGAGUCAGGAAAAUCAAGACUUGUCCAGUUACCACCAGUGGCAGUUCGCAGCCUCCAGGACUUGGCUCGCAUCGCCAUCCGGGGCACCAUUAAAAAGAUUAUUCAUCAGGAAACUGUGAGCAAAAACGGAAACGGACUAAAGAACACCCCCAGGUUUAAACGAAGGAGAGUUCGCCGCCGUCGAAUGGAAACGAUUGUCUUUUUGGACAAAGAAGUCUUUGCCAGUCGGAUUUCCAACCCCUCAGAUGACAACAGCUGUGAAGACUUGGAAGAGGAACGGAGGGAAGAAGAAGAGAAGACCCCGCCGGAAACAAAGCCAGACCCCCCAGUGAACUUCCUACGCCAGAAGGUCCUGAG